CCAAGAGAUCCUGCCACUACGUUUUUACUGGCUACACCUUUUUUUGGACAACUUCUCAAGGUGGUGUGGGAAGUGGGAAUCAUCUCAUGCCAUUUUAAUUCAUUACAUUCACUUAACAAAGAGUCUGCCUGAUCUGAGAUCUAGCCAAACCAGAACCCUGAAGAAGCUGUCCAGACUGCAUCUCCUGUGAUAAGGCCCAUCUCCAGGAGAAACACAGCCUGACUCAAGAUUUGCUAGAAGAGUGCCCUUAUGCAGUCUGAAGGAGUUAUUGCUACUCCUGUAGAGGCAUUUUUCCAAGUACAGCCAUAAAUAAAAAGAACCUCCUCACCAAAGGUGGAGGCAAAGCCUUGAAAGGCUUCUCUGACUGCAUCAGGACAAACUCCUUCAACAAAUCUGAGUUAUUUGCUCAACCCUUCUUCUUGGAAAUACAUACAGUACAACCCAGAGUCUAAACAUCAACAGCUACAGCCAUUUCGCUACUCAGUGCUGAAAUCAUUGCAUCACUUCAUGAAUCAUCCACUGCCAUGCUAUCUGGGGACAAAAAAAGGCAGCAAUGGAACACACACACAGGAGGGAAAGAGACAAG
This is a long non-coding RNA of Gallus gallus (chicken), 586 nucleotides long. RefSeq lists it as uncharacterized. The record is from RefSeq and is a predicted model, not a curated record. Lineage: Eukaryota; Metazoa; Chordata; Aves; Galliformes; Phasianidae. The transcript is spliced from 4 exons.